GUGUGUUUGUGUAAGAGAGUGUGUGUGUGCGUGUGUGUGUGUGUGUGUGUAAUAGAGUGUGUGAGUGUGUGUGUGUGCGUACCCUGUUGUUCUCGGCGGCCCACAGCAGCAGGUCUGCAGGUGUGUGUGUGUGUGUGUGCGUGUGUGUGUGUGUGUGUAAGAGAGUGUGUGUGUGUGUGCGUACCCUGUUGUUCUCGGCGGCCCACAGCAGCAGGUCUGCAGGUGUG
Alosa sapidissima (American shad) is the source of this 227-nucleotide long non-coding RNA. RefSeq lists it as uncharacterized. The record is from RefSeq and is a predicted model, not a curated record. The transcript has 3 exons. NCBI's taxonomy places the organism in Eukaryota, Metazoa, Chordata, Actinopteri, Clupeiformes, Clupeidae.